GCCUGAUCCAGCCAUGCCGCGUGGGUGAAGAAGGCCUUCGGGUUGUAAAGCCCUUUUGUUGGGAAAGAAAAGCAGUCGAUUAAUACUCGGUUGUUCUGACGGUACCCAAAGAAUAAGCACCGGCUAACUUCGUGCCAGCAGCCGCGGUAAUACGAAGGGUGCAAGCGUUACUCGGAAUUACUGGGCGUAAAGCGUGCGUAGGUGGUUGUUUAAGUCUGUUGUGAAAGCCCUGGGCUCAACCUGGGAAUUGCAGUGGAUACUGGGCGACUAGAGUGUGGUAGAGGGUAGUGGAAUUCCCGGUGUAGCAGUGAAAUGCGUAAAGAUCGGGAGGAACAUCCAUGGCGAAGGCAGCUACCUGGACCAACACUGACACUGAGGCACGAAAGCGUGGGGAGCAAACAGGAUUAGAUACCCUGGUAGUCCACGCCCUAAACGAUGCGAACUGGAUGUUGGGUGCAAUUUGGCACGCAGUAUCGAAGCUAACGCGUUAAGUUCGCCGCCUGGGGAGUACGGUCGCAAGACUGAAACUCAAAGGAAUUGACGGGGGCCCGCACAAGCGGUGGAGUAUGUGGUUUAAUUCGAUGCAACGCGAAGAACCUUACCUGGUCUUGACAUGUCGAGAACUUUCCAGAGAUG
Molecule: ribosomal RNA, 636 nt
Filed under: Stenotrophomonas sp. So2Ps_826
Lineage: Bacteria; Pseudomonadati; Pseudomonadota; Gammaproteobacteria; Lysobacterales; Lysobacteraceae
Description: bacterial SSU rRNA
Rfam family: Bacterial small subunit ribosomal RNA
Source: RNAcentral